UGGUUUGUGAUCGAUGAGUUAAUAAUAUAGUAUUGAGACUAUGCAUGAAAGGUGAUGAGCAGGACGUGUUGAACAUUAUGAUGAGGGAACACUGUAUAUUUUGAGAAUGGUGAGAUAAACUUUAUGAUUGUUGAGCAAUGCCUGUUACUGAGAAUGUCUACUGAGUUAUGAUGUAAACAUGAAACUAUGUUAUUUCCUUGUACUGUCGUCGGUCAUGUUUACGAGAUAGUGAUUCAAGUGUCAUUUCCCUCUGUGUGGGGGGAGGUGGAUGUCUUGCCCAAAGGGCUUUUCAAUAAGUCGGGGAGAUAGGUCGGAAGUUGCGAUGGAAGACGACUUGAAUUGCCCUGUUGAGGAAACAGAUACCUGUUAGUGAUAACAGGUCAUGACGACACAGUAUAAGAAAACGACAUUGGUUCAUGUAUGGUGUGGCUAUAAUAUUAAUGUUGUGAUGAAAUAUGUUAUAUGAUUAUAUUAUUUUGUAAUUAAAAUGAAAUAUGUUUUGUGGUGUGUUAUGAUAUUUCUAGUUGCUCACCCUGAAGUAUAAAUAACUUCUCGUAAGGCCCACCAACAUUGAUAAACCAUUACCUCUAGUUCAGUUAAAUGAUCUAAAGCUCCAAGGAAACUUAACUAACUCUUAUCUCACUUAUACUCUCCCUCCUUAUAUGCAGAACUAGUUUAGAAACCUGAUCAAUAACUCUAUUUAUCCUCAAAGACCAUCUUUUAGAAAUCUUAACCCAUCUUUGGGUGUUUGGUGAGUUGAUGCAUG
This 766-nucleotide long non-coding RNA is filed under the name Vigna radiata. Its description in RNAcentral is "long non-coding RNA (VRAD_LNC017178)". Lineage: Eukaryota; Viridiplantae; Streptophyta; Magnoliopsida; Fabales; Fabaceae. The record is from RNAcentral.